AUACCCCUUACUCUUUGUGGGGUGGAAGGGACACAUAGAUUAGAUUGAUGGGGUUAUUCUCCCUACCGUUUUAUGUAAAUUUGCCAAAGAAAUAAGAUACCUGUUCUGACAAGAGUCAGGCAAGUCUAAAUAUUUCUUACAGACAGAGUUGACAAAAUUCAAAAGUAGUUUGGUUACAAGAGACUCAUUAAUUUCAAAUGGGCAUUUGAUUCCCAAAGGGAAGACAAACUUCAUCAGUUGGAGCAUUGUGAUGUCACAGAGGAACUUCAUUAGUGCACCACUUAGAAGGGAGCCAUGAGAGUAAGUAAAAUGAAAUGUAAAUAAAUGCCUAAUUAGGUGUCCAUGAAAAACUGAAGAGUCUCCAAAGUUGUUAGAGAUGACUGUACUUGGAAGGCAGCUUCUUAGACUAAGAAUCAGUGCUUUCAUAACCUUCACAGAGGAGGCUGGAAGAUUCCGCAGAGGUCUCCAGAAGACUGGUUAACUUGGAUGAAACCAUUGAAGACAAUCAGGAAGAUACAAUAGGGGAAAAUAUUCCAUGAGGACGCUUUGAUUUUUCUUUACAACACACCACUAAAUUACGUGAGUAGCCUUUCCAUCGUGGUGGAGAGGAAAUAUAAUUUCAAACUAAAGUUGAGCCCAGUUUCUGUUAAAUUAAAUAGCAAAGAAAAAAAAUAGUUCUUGGCUUUAUUCUUCUUAGAUGGGGAGCAGGGCAGUAGGGAAUUGACACAAGUCGGUCCUUGGUGAUUAACCUGCAGUUUACGGUUGUGUUUCCCGGUGACGUGCCCAUCACGCAGGAAGCUUCUCGGAGGCUGUGGAGAGCAGCCUGUCUGCUUUGAGAAGUGCAGAUCUAUCAGGAUCCAGAAUCGGGCUCUGAAAAAGCUGUCAUUUCAUGUCUCUAAAACAGCCUCUGAUUUAAUGUACAAGAUGUCAAGAAGUAAAGGACAAUAAAAUAAAAGCCAAAAAGGAGAACUAUUUCAAUUAAGAAGCAUUUCUAUAGCAAUUCUUGGAAAUCACGUAAAAUAAAAACUGUCAGAAUCAA
Herpailurus yagouaroundi (jaguarundi) is the source of this 1039-nucleotide long non-coding RNA. RefSeq lists it as uncharacterized. The record is from RefSeq and is a predicted model, not a curated record. NCBI's taxonomy places the organism in Eukaryota, Metazoa, Chordata, Mammalia, Carnivora, Felidae. The transcript is spliced from 2 exons.